CCUACGGGACGCACCAGUGGGGAAUAUUGCACAAUGGGCGCAAGCCUGAUGCAGCCAUGCCGCGUGUAUGAAGAAGGCCUUCGGGUUGUAAAGUACUUUCAGUCGGGAGGAAGGUGGUGAGCUUAAUACGCUCAUCAAUUGACGUCACCGACAGAAGAAGCACCGGCUAACUCCGUGCCAGCAGCCGCGGUAAUACGGAGGGUGCAAGCGUUAAUCGGAAUUACUGGGCGUAAAGCGCACGCAGGCGGUUGAUUGAGUCAGAUGUGAAAUCCCCGGGCUUAACCCGGGAAUUGCAUCUGAUACUGGUCAGCUAGAGUCUUGUAGAGGGGGGUAGAAUUCCAUGUGUAGCGGUGAAAUGCGUAGAGAUGUGGAGGAAUACCGGUGGCGAUGGCGGCCCCCUGGACAAAGACUGAGGCUCAGGUGCGAAAGCGUGGGGAGCAAACAGGAUUAGAUACCCGUGUAGUC
This 465-nucleotide ribosomal RNA is filed under the name uncultured bacterium. RNAcentral's name for it is "bacterial SSU rRNA". It matches the Rfam family "Bacterial small subunit ribosomal RNA", at positions 338 to 795 of the family's 1533-position model. The record is from RNAcentral.